This is a long non-coding RNA of Mastomys coucha (southern multimammate mouse), 239 nucleotides long. RefSeq lists it as uncharacterized. The record is from RefSeq and is a predicted model, not a curated record. The transcript has 2 exons. NCBI's taxonomy places the organism in Eukaryota, Metazoa, Chordata, Mammalia, Rodentia, Muridae.
UAAUGCCUUUUGCAUUCCUGUUAUCAACACUGACAUGGCUGAGCGAACAAAUACGACAAGUGUUGUAUGAAGAAAAUGGCCAAGGACCUUCCACCAACAGAAAAGAUGAACCAGUUGGUGCUUAACCUGAGAAGUAGACCCUUGAAGCAGGGGUCAAGAACACUGACUGUGUAAGGAAGAAUUUUAUUAUAUAUGUAUAUAUAUAUAAAUUUUAAAGUAAAAUGUUUUAUCUGAUAGUA